GCUGGGCACGGUGGCGCGUGCCUGUAAUCCCAGCUACUCGGGAGGCUGAGGUGGGAGGAUCGCUUGAGCCCAGGAGUUCUGGGCUGUAGUGCGCUAUGCCGAUCAGGUGUCCGCACUAAGUUCAGCUUCAAUAUGGUGACCUCCUGGGAGCGGGGACCACCAGGUUGCCUAAGGAGGGGUGAACCGGCCCAGGUCGGAAACAGAGCAGGUCAAAACUCCUGUGCCGAUCAGUAGUGGUAUCACGCCUGUGAAUAGCCACUGCACUCCAGCCUGGGCAACAUAGCGAGACCCCAUCUCA
This 298-nucleotide signal recognition particle RNA is filed under the name Aotus nancymaae (Ma's night monkey). RNAcentral describes it as "Metazoan signal recognition particle RNA (ENSANAG00000005812.1)". It matches the Rfam family "Metazoan signal recognition particle RNA". Rfam says of the family: The signal recognition particle (SRP) is a universally conserved ribonucleoprotein. Lineage: Eukaryota; Metazoa; Chordata; Mammalia; Primates; Aotidae. The record is from RNAcentral.